Long non-coding RNA from Rattus rattus (black rat), 1170 nucleotides. RefSeq lists it as uncharacterized. The transcript has 3 exons. The record is from RefSeq and is a predicted model, not a curated record. NCBI's taxonomy places the organism in Eukaryota, Metazoa, Chordata, Mammalia, Rodentia, Muridae.
UUAGCUACUGUGUCUUGCUAGGCCCUGCCAUCCACAUCUGCUACUUCUCAGUCUGGUCCAGGCUUUUAACACAGGUGGAGACCCAGCAGAAACUUUCCAUAUUCUCAAAACUGGAAGUUGGACUAAGAUCUUGUUAUUGCUUUGAAACAAAAUUGACAAGGUUACUGGAUCAGUAGCCCAAACUGUCCAGGGACUUUCUGUGUAGCCCAGGUUGAUUCAUGAAUCUCUUGCCACAGUUUCCAGAGAGCUGGAAUUACAACCACCUCUCUCCCCUUUUAAGGCUCCAGUGAACACCCCAAACUUGGAUCUCCACCAGUGGAUUGGAGCUGAGGAACAACCCGGACAAAACCUCUGAACCAGACAUAUUGUGGUCAUCUGUCAGCAGCGGUCAUUUUGUAAUUAUAUCUAGAUGUAGAACUCUCAGCUACGUCUCCAGCAUCAUGUCUGCCUGGAUGCUGCCACGUUCUUCACAAUGAUGACAACAGAUUAAACCCCUGAAACUGUAAGCCAGCCCCAGUUAAAUGCUUUCCUUUAUCAGAAUAGCUGUGGUCAUGGUCGCGGUGUUUUUUUCACAGCGACAAAACACUGAUUAAGACAAAGGCACAGACAGUAUUUUCAACAGAAUUAUAGAAGAAAUUUUCCCUACUGUAAAGGAGGAGAUGCCUAUCAAAGUACAGGAAGCAAGCACUAGUCAAAUAGACUGGACCAGAGAAGGAAGAUGUCUCAGCACAUAAUAAUCAGAACACUAAGUGUGCAGAACAAAGAAGGAAUAGUAACAGCUACAAGGGAACAAGACCAAGUACAAGGACUACAUAAAAGUAGACAGAGCUAUUAGAAAUACACUUGACUUUUCAAUGGAGACUCUAAAAGCCAGAAGGGCCAGGACAGAUGUGCUGCAGACUCCAAGAGAUCACUGAGGCCAGCCAGACUAUACCUAGCAAUCACAAUAUUUGGAGGAAAUAAGAUAUUUCAUGAGAAAACCAAACUGAAGCACUAGCUAUCUACAAAUCCAUCCCUACAGGAGGCACUAGGAGGAAAACUCCAACCCAGAGUGGUAACCACACCCAAAAGGCCCACAAAGAGUAAAUAAUCCCACACAAGCUAACCAAGAGGUUUGCUACAUACAUACACACACACACACACACACACACACACACACACACACACACA